AAAAGAAUAAGUCCCGCAACUUUUAUAUUUCUCUUCGUAAUUAUAUUUAUCUUCAACUACGAAGAGAAAGUGAGAAAAAACAAAUUAAUAAAAGAAAAUGACUAUUUUGCCAAAUAUAAACAUAUAUUUUUUAAAGUGUUAUAUCAUAAAGACCUUAUUGUAUUUUUAAAAAUAUACAACACUUCUCUCUUUCUUCUAAACCAAACAAUAUCUCAAAUCUUGUUUAUUUCAUCUUGUUUAUUUCUUAUAUUUGUCUAUCUUCAUAUACUCUCUCUUAUCUAUUUCUCUCUUGAUCUGAACACAUUAUUAUAUGGGUGUACCAAGCGGCAAAUAACGUCAACUUUAAAACCUCUUUAA
Non-coding RNA from Vicia faba (fava bean), 357 nucleotides. NCBI's taxonomy places the organism in Eukaryota, Viridiplantae, Streptophyta, Magnoliopsida, Fabales, Fabaceae. The record is from the annotation of a GenBank genome assembly.